AGGAUGAACGUUGGCGGCGUGCCUAAUACAUGCAAGUCGAACGAAGACUGUAGUAAUACUGUCUUAGUGGCGAACGGGUGAGUAACGCGUGGGUGACCUGCCCCGAAGUGUGGGAUAACAGUACCGAAAGGAUUGCUAAUACUGCAUAAUAUCCAAGAGAUUAGAUGCUUUUGGAUUAAAGGAGUAAUUCGCUUCGGGAGGGGCCCGCGUCCCAUCAGCUAGUUGGUAAGGUAAUGGCUUACCAAGGCGAUGACGGGUAGGGACCUGAGAGGGUCGGCCCCCCACAAUGGAACUGAAACACGGUCCAUACACCUACGGGUGGCAGCAGUAGGGAAUAUUAGUAAUGGGCGAAAGCCUGAACUAGCAACGCCGCGUGUGCGAAGAAGGCCUUCGGGUCGUAAAGCACUUUUGAGAGGAUGAGGAAGGACGGUACUCUCAGAAUAAGUCUCGGCUAACUACGUG
This 462-nucleotide ribosomal RNA is filed under the name uncultured bacterium. Its description in RNAcentral is "bacterial SSU rRNA". It matches the Rfam family "Bacterial small subunit ribosomal RNA", at positions 26 to 507 of the family's 1533-position model. The record is from RNAcentral.